CGCGUAAAUCACCGGAAUGAUAUCGCGUCGCCUUAAUCACCGGUUCCAUAAACAUUUCGGCAUGUUUCGUGUAAUUUUAUACUAUCACGGAACGAAGAUGUAACAGCCAUAAAAUACGUAAAGAAUUAGAUACCAAAUACGACGAUUCCGUGGAAAAUAUAAUUUGGAAAAGGUACGAAAAUCGCCCAAUAUUCCCAAACCCUUUUGAAAUAUAACACGUUGAAAAAAAAAAUCGUCGUUGUGUAUACGAUGUGUACAGUGUGUGAAAAAGAUAUCGAAAAAAAUAUUGUUUCGACGUAGCAAGGAAGCCUGGUAACGAAGAACAAUGAACACCAUGUCUAAUACCAGCAUUCAACCCCGUGAAGAAUGCAGGUUUAAUGCUUGCUUAUAUCUGGAUGAUAGUUAUGUUUGUGGCAGCUCUCGUUUUCGUGAUUGGAUUCCUGUAUCAAUUUAUUUUUUAAGGUAAUGGAAUUAUUCUCGUUUGAAAUAUUCAGUGGUAAAAUUUGUGGUAUUCCCUCAUUUUUUUUCGAAAACGAGAUGAACGAAGGAAGCACGAAAUACGAGAGAUCGUACUUAUUUAAUGAAUUCUCAAAUUUGUAUAUAACAUGUAAUAUACAUAAUAUUAUGUUUUAAUGUACGUUUCUUCUCAUUUUUUCGAUAUAAAGAAUUUAAUCCAAUUUUUUUCAAUUUAUUACAUUUUCGCUUGAUCGAUUAAUUAUUAAUAAUAUUAAACAAUAAUUGUACCAUAAAAUAUUUUAUAUUGUAUUUUAAACAAAUGUAAUCUUUUUGAAUCAAUUUAUUAAAUAUUAUCAUUACUGUU
Long non-coding RNA from Apis cerana (Asiatic honeybee), 820 nucleotides. RefSeq lists it as uncharacterized. Lineage: Eukaryota; Metazoa; Arthropoda; Insecta; Hymenoptera; Apidae. The record is from RefSeq and is a predicted model, not a curated record.